ACGGAUCUAGCUGCAGAUAUUACAAAAUACAUGUGAGCUUGGUGAAUAGUAUGACGACUGAAUUAUAUAGAGUUUUCUUGUUGUGCUACUUAUGAAUUGCAUUCAUGUAUGUAAAUGCAUAUUGAUUAUUAGUUACCUCCUGGUUCCGGGCCUAUGUGCACAUCCAUGAUGCCUCUCGAUCCUACGCAAUGUCCAAGACAUUGUGAUGCUGCAACAUCCUUGGAAGAAAUAAAGCUGGCAUAGC
This 244-nucleotide long non-coding RNA is filed under the name Oryza brachyantha (malo sina). RNAcentral's name for it is "long non-coding RNA (OBRA_LNC002988)". The record is from RNAcentral. Lineage: Eukaryota; Viridiplantae; Streptophyta; Magnoliopsida; Poales; Poaceae.